RNAcentral lists this unclassified non-coding RNA (253 nucleotides) under uncultured Acidobacteriota bacterium. Its description in RNAcentral is "uncultured Acidobacteria bacterium contains 16S-23S intergenic spacer region". It matches the Rfam family "Bacterial small subunit ribosomal RNA", at positions 524 to 776 of the family's 1533-position model. The record is from RNAcentral. Lineage: Bacteria; Pseudomonadati; Acidobacteriota.
UACGGGGGGGGCUAGCGUUGUUCGGAAUUACUGGGCGUAAAGGGCUCGUAGGUGGCCAACUAAGUCAGCUGUGAAAUCCCUCGGCUCAACCGAGGAAUUGCGGCUGAUACUGGAUGGCUUGAAUCCGGGAGAGGGAUGCGGAAUUCCAGGUGUAGCGGUGAAAUGCGUAGAUAUCUGGAGGAACACCGGUGGCGAAGGCGGCAUCCUGGACCGGUAUUGACACUGAGGAGCGAAAGCCAGGGGAGCAAACAGG